GACGAACGCUGGCGGCGUGCCUAACACAUGCAAGUCGAACGAACCUUCCGGGGUUUUGGGCGGACGGGGGAGGAAGACGUGGGAAGGUGCCCUUGGGUACGGAAUAACUCAGGGAAACUUGUGCUAAUACCAAAGGGGCCCUUCGGGGGAAAGAUUAAUUGCCUUUAGAGCGGCCCGCGUCAGAUUAGCUAGUUGGGUGAGGUAAUGGCUCACCAAGGCGACGAUCAGUAGCUGGUCUGAGAGGAUGAUCAGCCACAUUGGGACUGAGACACGGCCCAAACUCCUACGCGAGGCAGCAGAGGGGAAUCUUGCGCACUGGGGGAAAGCCUGACGCAGCCAUGCCGGGUGAAUGAUGAAGGUCUUAGGAUUGUAAAAUUCUUUCACCGGGGACGAUAAUGACGGUACCCGGAGAAGAAGCCCCGGCUAACUUCGUG
RNAcentral lists this ribosomal RNA (434 nucleotides) under uncultured bacterium. Its description in RNAcentral is "partial 16S ribosomal RNA". It matches the Rfam family "Bacterial small subunit ribosomal RNA", at positions 28 to 507 of the family's 1533-position model. The record is from RNAcentral.